AGAUUUGUGCAGUGGCAGUAUUGUAGCCAAUGAGUUUUAUCUGAUAUGUUAUUAUUGCUAAUUGAAAACUUUUCUCAAAUGUUCCCC
This is a small nuclear RNA of Cavia porcellus (domestic guinea pig), 87 nucleotides long. Its record names the gene U4. It matches the Rfam family "U4 spliceosomal RNA". From Rfam's summary of the family: U4 small nuclear RNA (U4 snRNA) is a component of the major U2-dependent spliceosome. Lineage: Eukaryota; Metazoa; Chordata; Mammalia; Rodentia; Caviidae. The record is from Ensembl.